UUAAGUUCAGCGGGUAGUCCUACCUGAUUUGAGAUCAAAUGGUCAAAAUCUGUCCCCACUGAGGAGAGACGUUUAUGAGCUCCAGUGAACCUCCAUUGCUGGGGGUUACCUGGUGGAAAACCACAAGCGUAGAUAGUUAUCACACAUGUGAUGCCACCAAACACCGGCAAGCUAAUUCGUUUGAGAGGAGCUGACCCAUA
RNAcentral lists this unclassified non-coding RNA (200 nucleotides) under Tomentella sp. RNAcentral describes it as "partial internal transcribed spacer 2". Lineage: Eukaryota; Fungi; Basidiomycota; Agaricomycetes; Thelephorales; Thelephoraceae. The record is from RNAcentral.